AUUGAACGCUGGCGGCAGGCCUAACACAUGCAAGUCGAACGAGUGGCGGACGGGUGAGUAAUGUCUGGGAAACUGCCUGAUGGAGGGGGUUAACUACUGGAAACGGUAGCCAAUACCGCAUACCAUCGGAUGUGCCCAGCUGGGAUUAGCUAGUAGGUGGGGUAACGGCUCACCUAGGCGACGAUCCCUAGCUGGUCUGAGAGGCAGACCAGCCACACUGGAACUGAGACACGGUCCAGACUCCUACGGGAGGCAGCAGUGGGGAAUAUUGCACAAUGGGCGAAAGCCUGAUGCAGCCAUGCCGCGUGUGUGAAGAAGGCCUUCGGGUUGUAAAGUACUUUCAGUUGGGAGGCGUUACCCGCAGAAGAAGCACCGGCUAACUCCGUGCCAGCAGCCGCGGUAAUAC
This 406-nucleotide ribosomal RNA is filed under the name uncultured bacterium. Its description in RNAcentral is "partial 16S ribosomal RNA". It matches the Rfam family "Bacterial small subunit ribosomal RNA", at positions 30 to 526 of the family's 1533-position model. The record is from RNAcentral.